Molecule: long non-coding RNA, 365 nt
Filed under: Gallus gallus (chicken)
Lineage: Eukaryota; Metazoa; Chordata; Aves; Galliformes; Phasianidae
Description: long non-coding RNA NONGGAT003838
Source: RNAcentral
CAUAAAGCCGUGGAUUGUUGGCUAAGGGAGGUGACUGUUGCUCGGGGAUUAGCUGAGUAUUACUGGGAGUCAGCUGGCAGGUGUAAGAAGGUCUAGCAGGACAAGUAUUAGCCAUCCAGGAAAAUUCAAAGAAGCACAGCUAUCUACAAGCCAUUUAAAAAUGCCUAGAAAGCCUUGGACAAGAAGAUCUUUCUGCAGGCAUUUGAAGGAAGGAGUUGAAAGAAGAAAACAGAGUGACUUUUCAGAUGUUUCCAGAAGAAUUUUAUUCAAAGAAGGUCAUGAUAUGGGAGAAGAUAGACCUGUAUUGAUACAUUAAUCUAAAACAGCAGGAACUAUGAAUAAUAAUAAUAAAACAAAUCUCCUUG